RNA transcript from Scylla paramamosain (green mud crab), 1702 nucleotides. RefSeq lists it as uncharacterized. The record is from RefSeq and is a predicted model, not a curated record. The transcript is spliced from 6 exons. Lineage: Eukaryota; Metazoa; Arthropoda; Malacostraca; Decapoda; Portunidae.
AACAGGUCACAGGAAGAUGAAGAGGAGGGUUUGCAGGCUUUUUGGCAGCUCCAUAAAACAGUGAAAUUUAUGCUCAAAUCUUGCUAUUCGUUGUCUUAACAUGUCUUAUAAUGCAAGGGAAGACUGGCAGGCACGUUGGUUUCUGCGGCAGGGAGGUUCAAAGUAUUCAAAACUGCAUUGCAUGUGAGAAGUUCUUGAGGAAGACCAGGAAACAGGGCAAGGAAACUGUCAUAUCUAAGCAGAAGUUGACAGAGGAGUUUCAUGAGAUUGUGACACAGAUGCACCUGAACAACUUGAGCUCACAGGUAUGGAACAAGGACACCAUCCCUGUCUGCGACCCUUCCACUCCCAUAGGCCUGAACCACCUGGUGAAGCAGUUGCUGUUUAUGUGCACUGUGUGCUGCAAGAAGGUGAGCCAGACAUAACACGAGGCACCGGAGCACUGCAAGAGUAGGGAGCACUAUGACUGCUACCAGGCGCAUCUCGAGGCCCUUGAGGAGAAGGCGAAAAGGGAGACAUCUGACAAGGAGAAUGAGAAAGAAGAAAACACCAAUAAAAAGGAAGCCACAGAGAAACUAGAAAUAAAGAAGGAAGAAGAGGAGGAUGAUAAUGAGACACAGACACAGACAACCCAGUGACAAAGGAGGAGGAGGAGGAAGAGGAGAUCGAGACAAAGACAGAGAAUGAAGAUGAGAGAAUGAAAGAUAUGGACAACAUGGAAGUUAUGAUGAAGAAGGGGAUCAGGAAGAGAAUGAGGAAGAAGAAGAAGAAGAAGAAGAGGAGGAGGAGGAGGAGGAGGAAAAUGUCACUAAGGAUGUACAAGAAGGGGAAGAGGAGGAGGUGGAAGGAGAAGGUGAUGUAAUGGUAUCUGUGGAAGAGGUGGCAGAGGAUCUGAAAGAGGAUGCUAAGACUGGAAGAAAAGGAAAAGCAGGAGGAGGAGGAAGAGGUAAAAGAGACAGGUGAGAAGACCACUACCUCAGCAACUGCAACACCUGAGGACAAGACAGGAGCCAGGUAGGAUGUUGAUAGGAAGUGGUGAAGAAUGUUUGUCUGGGAUGGAAAAUGAAAAAAAUUGAAUUGAGUGAGUGUUUGGAAGUGCUGAAAUAAUUUAAGUGUUUUUUUGCUUCAUGUUGGUGUUUGGUGUUAGCAGUGACCAGGUUGACUUGAAGGAGCACAUCACCAGGAUUCUGAUGCAGGGAAUGGAGGGGAGGGGAGGGUGUGUGUGUUCAUGCCAGUGUGGUGGGAGGGUUUAGGGCCUCAGCCUUGGCUAAGUCAGUCUCCCACAACACUGGCUCAUCAAGCUUCCUUAAGAAAAUAUAAAGUUUUUGAACUAAAGUUUUUGAAGUUAAAUAUGUUACUUGAUAUCUUUGGUUUGCCUUGAAUGAAGUGACAUUUUAUCUUAUGUAGAUGUAAUGUCAAUAUUUUACAUUGUUCAUUGUUAGAUUGUUUAGGUGAUGCAUCAGAGUAACUAGAUGGAAGGAGACUGGCCUAAGAUGUCUUGUCUGUGCCUUGAUGGUCAAAGUGGCAGACACAGCCUAGCACCCCCACCUGUCUUCCCUCACUUGCUACACUCCUCCAUCCCUGUCUGGAGUUCUUUUGUCUUCCCUCAGGUGCACUUCAUCAUAAGGCAUAUUAUGGUCUUCCUCUACAGUCCAUCAGUACCAGAUAGCUGUGACUGUCAUACACUUUUUUCAGUCAUUAA